AUUGAACGCUGGCGGCAGGCCUAACACGUGCAAGUCGAGCGGAUGAAGGGAGCUUGCUCCUGGAUUCAGCGGCGGACGGGUGAGUAAUGCCUAGGAAUCUGCCUGGUAGUGGGGGAUAACGUCCGGAAACGGGCGCUAAUACCGCAUACGUCCUGAGGGAGAAAGUGGGGGAUCUUCGGACCUCACGCUAUCAGAUGAGCCUAGGUCGGAUUAGCUAGUUGGUGGGGUAAAGGCCUACCAAGGCGACGAUCCGUAACUGGUCUGAGAGGAUGAUCAGUCACACUGGAACUGAGACACGGUCCAGACUCCUGCGGGAGGCAGCAGUGGGGAAUAUUGGGCAAUGGGCGAAAGCCUGAUCCAGCCAUGCCGCGUGUGUGAAGAAGGUCUUCGGAUUGUAAAGCACUUUAAGUUGGGAGGAAGGGCAGUAAGUUAAUACCUUGCUGUUUUGACGUUACCAACAGAAUAAGCACCGGCUAACUUCGUGC
This 485-nucleotide ribosomal RNA is filed under the name uncultured bacterium. RNAcentral describes it as "partial 16S ribosomal RNA". It matches the Rfam family "Bacterial small subunit ribosomal RNA", at positions 30 to 508 of the family's 1533-position model. The record is from RNAcentral.